RNAcentral lists this long non-coding RNA (1138 nucleotides) under Calidris pygmaea (Spoon-billed sandpiper). RNAcentral's name for it is "lncRNA (ENSCPGG00000005100.1)". Lineage: Eukaryota; Metazoa; Chordata; Aves; Charadriiformes; Scolopacidae. The record is from RNAcentral.
CCCACCUCAAAAACGUCACUUCCGCCCAUUUCCACCCUCAAAUCCCCACUUUGGACUAUUUUCACCCUCAAAAAUUCUACUCUUUUCACCCUCAAAACUCCACUUUUGAGUAUUUUCACCCUCAAAAUUCUCAACUAUUUUCAGCCCCAAAACUCCACUUUCGAUUCUUUUCACCCCUCAAAACCCCGCUUUCGAGCAUUUUCACCCUCAAAACUCCCGUUUUGGGUGUUUUCACUCUCAAAACUCCGCUUUCAACUAUUUUCACCCUCAAAACGACACUUUGGAGUAUUUUCACCCCCAAAACUCCAGUUUCACAUAUUUUCACCCCCAAAACUCCCCUUUUGAGCAUUUUCACCCUCAAAAUUCCACUCUGGAGUAUUUUCACCCCCAAAACUCCAUUUUCACAUAUUUUCACUCUCAAAACUCCACUUUCAUGUAUUUUCACCCUCAAAACUCCAGUUUUGAGUAUUUUCACCCCCAAAACUCCAGUUUCACGUAUUUUCACCCCUAAAAUUCCACUUUCAGGAAUUUUCACCCUCAAAACUCCAGUUUCACCUAUUUUCACCCCCAAAACUCCCCUUUCGAGCAUUUUCACCUUCAAAAUUCCACUGUUGAGGAUUUUCACCCCCAAAACUCCACUUUCACAUAUUUUCACCCCCAAAACUCCAUUUUCACGUAUUUUCACCCCCAAAAUUCCAGUUUCAACUAUUUUCACCCUCAAAACUCCACUUUCAUGUAUUUUCACCCUCAAAACUCCAGUUUCACCUAUUUUCACCCCCAAAACUCCCCUUUCGAGCAUUUUCACCCCUAAAAUUCCACUUUCAAGUAUUUUCACCCCCAAAACUCCAUUUUCAGGUAUUUUCACCCCCCAAAUUCCACUUUCAUGUAUUUUCACCCUCAAAACUCCAGUUUCGAGUAUUUUCACCUCCAAAACUCCACUUUUGAGUAUUUUCAUGCUCAAAACUCCCCUUUCACACAUUUUCACCCCCAAAAAUUCCACUUUCGAGUAUUUUCACCCCCAAAAUUCCAGUUUCAACUAUUUUCACCCCCAAACUCCCCUCUCCCAUCCCGCCCCGUUUUCUCCCUCGUUUCCUGCUCGGCCGAGGGAAAACCCUUCAUUUUUUGGGAAAAAAUGAGA